GAGACGGAGAAUGGCAAGUUCAAUCUACGUGCAUCCAUUCUUUAAUAGCGCUUGAGAUGCCUCUUUUUUUGCUCAACCUUUCCAGCUGCCUUUUUGUUAUUACUGUGCAAGUUAUUUCUGUUAUCGAUGGUUUUCAUUUUUCUUUAUAAAUGGUCGUGCAGUUUCCACGUUGUGGCUAAUCCAACAAAGUUAUGUACUAGCACUCGUGUGCAGAUGCCUCGCGGAAACUAUACAUAUCCUUGCAGCUAAUAUUUGCCAUGCACCAGUGAUGACAAUAGAUGACGAGACCGAGCAUCUUCGGCGGUGAACGCAUUAGCUGCGUUCUGCGGCGUGCUUCGCUGUCGGUCUGCUUUUGAAGACAAAUGAGGCAUUUGUCUGAGGUGCCACGCACUGCCUUAACGUCGCGGAAUGUGAAAGAUUUGGCUGACUAAUUUACUUUCUGUGCAUACGCUUUCUUUUCUCUUUGUUUACACAGAUCGGGUCGAGUGCCACGUGCUUUGUACGGACCUGCCGUAGGACCGUGAUGGCCGCGUGUCAAGACAUCGUGAUGCAUUCCAUACCAGAGAUUUCAGCUUGCUCCCCUACCUACAUGACAGUGGAGUUGCUGAAAUGGUGGCCACCAGUAAUGUGCGUCAUUGUGCAGAGAGAUGGCAGCUUGGUCUCCUACUUGCCCACUUAACGGGGGAGUUGCCAAAAUGGUGCCCAGCAGUCAUUGUUUUUUGGUGACACUUGCUUCCUUCCUGCAGUGAAACCUUCUGUUGGGGUUCAGCAUCUCUCAAUUUGAGGUAAACUUUCUUUCGUGCAGUCCUGUGCUAACCUAACCUGAUGACUUUUUAUCAAAGUUAUCCAGACUUAUGAAGGCUGUGCAGAAAAUUCAGAUAUCUGAUUAAUUUGCCUACAUAUAUUUACGUUGAGUUCUGUGCUGCAUCUAAUUCUGUACUUUUUUUUU
RNAcentral lists this long non-coding RNA (949 nucleotides) under Dermacentor andersoni. Its description in RNAcentral is "uncharacterized LOC126535986". Lineage: Eukaryota; Metazoa; Arthropoda; Arachnida; Ixodida; Ixodidae. The record is from RNAcentral.